CAAAGACGUUAGAAACAGG
RNAcentral lists this microRNA (19 nucleotides) under Tribolium castaneum (red flour beetle). Its description in RNAcentral is "tca-miR-6007-5p". Lineage: Eukaryota; Metazoa; Arthropoda; Insecta; Coleoptera; Tenebrionidae. The record is from miRBase by way of RNAcentral.